GGGGAAUUAGCUCAGCUGGGAGAGCGUCCGCCUUGCACGCGGAAGGUCAGGGGUUCGAUCCCCCUAUUCUCCACCA
Molecule: transfer RNA, 76 nt
Filed under: Clostridia bacterium
Lineage: Bacteria; Bacillati; Bacillota; Clostridia
Description: tRNA-Ala
Rfam family: tRNA
About the family: Transfer RNA (tRNA) molecules are approximately 80 nucleotides in length. Their secondary structure includes four short double-helical elements and three loops (D, anti-codon, and T loops).
Source: RNAcentral